AGAUGAUGAUGAUAUAUAUGCAUGACACCGAAUAAAGAGAGGAAAAAACAAUUCAGUUUGUUCACAAUUUGGCAUUUAAAAGCACCAAAAUGUCCAUAGGUUGGAUUUUCUUUCUUUUCUCUCUUCUUCUACUUUCUUUUAUUUCAAAAACCCUUCCACAAUCCACCCCAACCCCCCUUUCUUAGCUUGUGCAGAUGAGAUUUCAGUGUGGUGUUGUUGCCGUUAGAUUAAUGGGUUUUUUGAGUAGAUAUUAUUUCUGAGUAUUUGUAGAAAACCAAGUGAAAUUAAGAAUAAAAUUAAGAGGAAGAAGGUGAGGUUUUGGUUAAAGAUGGCGACUGCAUCUUCUUCAUCAGGGCCUUUCUUUGGAAUUAGAGAAGAGAAUCAAAGCCAGACGAAACAACAACUACAACAACAUCAUACGCCAACUUCAUCAACUGGCCCAGUUGAUCCAUCGCCGCCUCCCAAGAAAAAGAGAAACCAACCUGGAACUCCAAAUCCAGAUGCAGAAGUGGUAGCACUAUCUCCCAAGACAUUAAUGGCUACAAACAGGUUCAUAUGCGAGGUAUGCAACAAAGGGUUCCAAAGGGAGCAAAAUUUACAGCUUCAUAGAAGGGGACACAACUUGCCAUGGAAGCUAAAGCAGAAGACAACAAAAGAAGUGAAGAAGAAGGUGUAUCUAUGCCCGGAGCCCACAUGCGUCCACCAUGACCCGUCGAGGGCACUUGGGGACCUUACGGGCAUCAAAAAGCAUUACUCGAGAAAACAUGGUGAGAAGAAAUGGAAGUGCGAGAAGUGUUCCAAGAGGUACGCCGUGCAAUCUGAUUGGAAAGCUCAUUCUAAGACCUGUGGCACCAGAGAGUACAGAUGUGACUGUGGCACCCUCUUCUCAAGACGUGACAGCUUUAUCACUCACAGAGCAUUUUGUGAUGCACUGGCUCAAGAAACUGCAAGGCACCCUCCUCCUUUAAACUCCAUUGGCACCCAUUUGUACGGAACUAGCAAUUAUAUGGGCUUAGGGUUAUCUCAAGUUGGAACCCAAAUUUCAUCCAUUCAAGACCCGAAUAAUAAUCAAACUGCAGCUGACAUCCUCAAACUUGGUGGUGGUGGUGGUGGUGGGCCUUCAAGGAGUUCCCAAUUUGAUCAUCUUCUUCCUCCAUCAAUGGGUUCUUCUUCAUCAUCAUCGUUUCGACCUCAACAACAGGCCAUGGGUUUCGUCAUGGAAGAAUCUAAUCAGAUUUUCAACCAAGAACAUCAAUCCCAGCAUGGGUUGUUGGGAAACAGCAAACCGUUCCAAGGAUUAAUGCAGUUUCCUCCCGACAACAACAACAACAACAACAACAACGCCGCAAGCAACGCUUCUUCGGCUGCCAAUCUCUUCAACCUUAGCUUCCUUUCCAAGAGUGGCAACAAUGGCGGUGCUGGCGAUUAUAAUUUAACAUCUUCGGGUUUGCUCAUGUCUGAUAAUUUCAACAAUGAAAACGGCGGCAAUGGUGGAACCAACAACGCCUCCAACCUCUUCUCCAACAACUUAAUGAGUGAUCAAAUGACUUCCAACAUCCCUUCUCUCUUUAGCUCAUCGGUUCAAAACAAUAACAUGGUGCCCCAAAUGUCAGCCACCGCAUUGCUUCAAAAGGCUGCUCAAAUGGGCUCUACUUCAAGAAACAAAAACACCAACGACGAUUCCCUUCUAAGAACCUUUGCAAACUCUUCUUCAACCGGAACCAAAACCUCCAACUUCGGCGCCAUUUUCGGAGAUACGGCUGGCAGCAAUCUACAUGAACUAAUGAACUCCAUUGCCAGUGGAAAUUCCCCCAUUUUCGGAAGCGGCUAUGACGCUGUACAUGGUCAAGAAAGCCCUUACACAAAUAGAAGUAGCAUGGGACAAGAACAACCACCGCCGCCACCGCCGCAAAGUAUGAAUGUUAGCGGAGGCGGGUCGGAUAGAUUGACUCGGGACUUCCUUGGGGUUGGGCAUAUAGUUAGAAACAUGAGCGGAGGAGCGGCACAACAACGACAAGGAAUUGGGAUAAGCAGGCUGAGUUCAGAGAGAAAUAGUAACAUAACGGCGCCGACAAGCCAGCAAUCUUUCGGAGAACGUGGGAAUUUCCAGUGACGAAAGAAAUCCCAAAAAGAGUAAAAAGAGAAAAGAUAUGAAGAAAGUACAAAGAUAUUGAUGGAUGGCAAGGUGGGUCAAGUACAAGUCCAUGGAGAAAAGGGGAGUUGAGUUUUGGAAAGCUAAUCAAAAAUCAACAAAAAUGCAGCUAAUGAUAUCAACCUCUCUCUUAUAGAUUUGUACCAAAACCUGCUUCCUUUUUUUUCUCUUCAACUGUUAAUCAAGCAACCAUCUUUUUUCAUAGUCACUUUUUAGCCCCUCAAACAAACAUAACUUUCUCUUGUUUCCUUUUUUAUUUUAUUUUAUUUUAUUUUAUUAUUAUAGUAA
This is an RNA transcript of Gossypium arboreum, 2440 nucleotides long. It is a transcript of the gene named protein indeterminate-domain 5, chloroplastic-like, with no coding region annotated. The transcript has 4 exons. The record is from RefSeq and is a predicted model, not a curated record. NCBI's taxonomy places the organism in Eukaryota, Viridiplantae, Streptophyta, Magnoliopsida, Malvales, Malvaceae.